UCUCCUGCCUCUGCCUCCUGAGUGCUAGGAUUAAAGAUGCCUGCCACUACUGCCUGGACUGUCUAGGUAUUCUGACUGCCUUAGAUGGGAGGACGUGGUGAGCGACUCAAGGAUUACCAUGCAGGAGGCCAAGAAAAAAAAAAUCUUACCAAUACCUGAGCAACUAAAUCUAAAUGGUAAAGGUGACAGAGAAUUUAAAGUUGGUACAAAAGCAGCUGUUGGGGUGGUACCAAAUAACUAUAAUCCCCAGCAUUUAGACACAAGAUCAGAAAUUCAAGGCUAAUAUGUGCUGGCUGGCUACCCAGCCAAUGAGUUCAAGCCAGUCUAGGCUAUACGUGUUCCUGUCUCAACAAGCAAGCAGACGAACGACAACAACCACAACAAAACAAGCAAGCAAAACCCCCAAAGGCUGUACACAGAAAGCAAAAACAAUGUACAGAAGAAAAGAGGUGAGGACCUAACCUCAGGCACUGACAAACGGACAUGGUACAUACAGCACACCUAUAAUCCCAGCACUCUGGACUGCUGGUAAAGUCAGGAUAUCAAUGUCAUCCUUACAUCCUAGACUCCACAAGUUUAAAGCCAUCAUAGGAUAGAUGAAAAUGUCAAAAAAAAAAAAAAAAAAAAUCAAGAAAAGAGAGAAGGAAGAGUAAGUCAAAAAGAGCUUUGGUUGUGAUGUACUCCAGAGGCUGGGCAGAGACUGCAGAGUAGCUUAACUAGCUUGGGCUAUAAAAUAUCUUGUCUCAAAAAGGAAGGACGGACAGAAGGACGGAAGGAAUGAAGGAAGUUUGCAAUUGUUUCAAAGAUGCACAUGCCUGAAGCAUACCUAUCCGCGGCCGCGGAGUCCAGUCACUAGAGCUGGCGUGUGACGUUCUGUCAUCGUCAUCACUUUCACAGGAAUGAAAGCCAUUAGUGAGGAGUCCAUCGGUCAACAGGAGGUUGUCUGUCAAAGAGAUCAAAAGGCUGCGGCUCAGACAAUCCCCAGCUGGGCCCUGCGGUCCACACCUGCAAUCCCAGGUACUUUGAGGCCCGUUUGGCCUGUAUGGUGAGACACACACAGGUUCUUGAGACAAAAACAAAAAACCAGAAAGGCACAGAAGCACACACAUCUGUAACUCCAGCACCUGGAAGGCACAGACAUUGGAAACCAGCCUGACAUAUAUAAAAUAGUGAGUUCCGGACCAGCCUGGGCUAAACAGGGACCCUACC
RNAcentral lists this long non-coding RNA (1209 nucleotides) under Mus musculus (house mouse). RNAcentral describes it as "long non-coding RNA chr10:63336153-63337362". The record is from RNAcentral. Lineage: Eukaryota; Metazoa; Chordata; Mammalia; Rodentia; Muridae.